GGAGAGGACGAGAGCCUGGCCUGGUCCCACCGCUUCCCCGGACCCCGCUUCUCCAUCUGUCCCAGGUCGGAGGAGGGCUGUGCCGAUGGUGCGAGUUGUGACUUCGCUCACAGCGAGGAGGAGCUUCAGGAGUGGCGCGAACGAAGGGAUUUCCUGCGCAGGACGUUACACAGAGCCAGAGCCGAAAACCUGCUCUCCCCAACUGACAACGACUUCGGCAUCUUGACCUUCAUAUUUCAGGAUUAAAGAAAAAACUGCGUCAACCAGAACACGAUUCUGUCAUGUUUGAUGAACGGAUAUUUUACUUCAUGUUGCUUAAAUAGAGAAUAAAUCCUGUUUAUACACUUAAUAAAGCUUUCAUCUGUUAGACGGCAAUCAGAGCAUACUGUCUUUGGGCUGUUGAUGUGAUCUCUGCAGUAUUUGUCCAAGACUUAUAAUUCAUGUUAUAAAAGAAAAUUAAAAUUACACAUCGAUCACAGUAUAAUGCAGUAAACAUUACUUUUGUGUAAUUAUGUUUCUAUUUGUAUUUUUACGCAACUAGAGCUAUAACCUUUUUCUCAACCCUCUUUCAUGGUCCACCUUUAAUUGAUAUGAGGCAGCGGGAAUGGGUCUUUAUUAAAAAUGGCAUUGUGUUUCUUCCAUUUUCAAGUUUGUUUUGUGCACAAAAAGUCAGUGUUGCAGAGUGUUAUAAUAUCUUAAUAUCUUAAAAUGAACAUUGUGUUAUUACAACUUUUGAAAAGUUACCCUUUAUAACAAUCAUUGCAAUUACGUUUUAAUAUAUUGUAAUUUCCCAGUCCAUACUCGAAAGUCAUGUUCUUGUAGCUAGAAAUGCAUUAAGCAAUCUCACCUGGUUUGUCAGGGGUUGGCAGCGGCCUGUUGUGUUGGUCUUGUGUUUUGUUGUUUUGUUGAUGCUGGACAUGGCUACUGUGUGAGGCAUCCCGGUCACACCUUUUCCCGCCCCACCGGUAGGGUCUGGUUCACCCUUCGUCCCACCUGAAUGCGUCCAUUUGAAUUGCCUCUGGAAUUGGGGCUGGAGUCACUGCCAGCGGUUUCACCCGUCUUUUGGACUAUUACAACAAAACCCUUGAUUGUUAAAUAAACUGUUUUUUUUCUGCAAUUGGGUCUGCUCGUCUGUCCUUACAUGGUUAAUGAUUUGCAUGCAUUAUAUUCAUGGUAGUUUCUAGACUUUCCCCUCAAAGCCUUUGGAGAGGGUUCACGCUAGUGACAUCUUGUGGAAAAAGCCUUUGCAUCAGCAAUUUUUUUUAUUUACUGUUUCAAAUCAAUUUGUUCUACAAUUCUCAUUUUUGUGUGAAUAAAUGAGUCAAUAAAA
Molecule: long non-coding RNA, 1330 nt
Organism: Puntigrus tetrazona (Sumatra barb)
Lineage: Eukaryota; Metazoa; Chordata; Actinopteri; Cypriniformes; Cyprinidae
Exons: 2
Source: RefSeq, a predicted model, not a curated record